Molecule: ribosomal RNA, 435 nt
Filed under: uncultured bacterium
Lineage: Bacteria
Description: partial 16S ribosomal RNA
Rfam family: Bacterial small subunit ribosomal RNA
Source: RNAcentral
AGCGAACGCUGGCGGCAGGCUUAACACAUGCAAGUCGAACGGGCAUCUUCGGAUGUCAGUGGCAGACGGGCGAGUAACACGUGGGAACGUACCCUUCGGUUCGGAAUAACUCAGGGAAACUUGAGCUAAUACCGGAUACGCCCUUUUGGGGAAAGGUUUACUGCCGAAGGAUCGGCCCGCGUCUGAUUAGCUUGUUGGUGGGGUAACGGCCUACCAAGGCGACGAUCAGUAGCUGGUCUGAGAGGAUGAUCAGCCACACUGGGACUGAGACACGGCCCAGACUCCUACGGGAGGCAGCAGUGGGGAAUAUUGGACAAUGGGCGCAAGCCUGAUCCAGCCAUGCCGCGUGAGUGAUGAAGGCCUUAGGGUUGUAAAGUUCUUUUGUCCGGGACGAUAAUGACGGUACCGGAAGAAUAAGCCCCGGCUAACUUCGUG